Setaria italica (foxtail millet) is the source of this 1257-nucleotide long non-coding RNA. RefSeq lists it as uncharacterized. NCBI's taxonomy places the organism in Eukaryota, Viridiplantae, Streptophyta, Magnoliopsida, Poales, Poaceae. The transcript is spliced from 5 exons. The record is from RefSeq and is a predicted model, not a curated record.
CCACCAUAUAACAAUGAUUCGCACCUUUUCCGCACUUCCGCGACCGCGCCGACGCCCAUCUCCGCCGCCGUUGUGGCCCGCGCCGUGUAUUCUGCUCUUCCACACGUCCCCUCCACCGGAGAACUCUCGCCACCGAGCUGCCCACCACGUGUUCGACUUCCACGCCGCGCUGCGGCCACAACCGCAGCGGCGUCGCCAUCCAGGCUACAUUUCCACGUAACAGCGGAUCCUCCUCCCCGCACCUGCACGAGGAGUUCCAUCUUUCGAUAGCGACGCCAUCAACCACCACCCGUCGUUAGCCCAACUACGCCAACGGGCAACGGCUGCGGUUCAGGUACGCUCGAACUUUCACCCACCGUGCACCAUCUGUUCGACAAAAUGCCUCUUCAGUGCAGGAAAGCCAUUCCGUCAGCAAUGCUGGCAGCGCCUUCCCCAUACCAGUUUGGACGCAAGCCAGUGGGCAGAGCAGGCUCCUGUGCGUGCCCACUGCUUACCUGAUGCAGGCUAGGUGUUUCAGGAUAGCCUGUGUAUUGAACGUCCGUCGAUGCUGACGGAGCCCUCGAGGCUCCCUUUGGCGAUCCUCCCUGCGAGCGCGUCGAGGAACGUCGACUUGCCGGCGCCGCUGGGGCCGAGGAUCGCCGUGACCUGCCCCCGGAGCGCCUGGCCGGAGAUGUCGUUGAGCAGGAGCCGCUUUGGUGGAUAGCUACGAGUCGUUGAAACAUGGGCGGAUUCUGCAGAGGAUUUGUGACAAUGUGCUUGGCUGCUUGUGGUUUUGUAACAGCAGUGAUAGUUACUGCGACAGCUGGGACUUGAUUUCACGUAAUCAAAUCAAUAGCUCUGACGGCACAAAGAGAGGCGCCAGAGUGAGCUCCCUCUGGUUGUUGCUCAUCACAGAACUAGGGGACUGCAGCAUCUGCAAAGGACAUUGUAUCAAAGAAAAAUUUCAUCUGUGCUUGGAAUGUUGUCAACCACUACACAUCUUUUCUGGGUUACUACUGAUGUUGUGAAAAAUGUCGAAGGAUAAGAAAGGUAGCUGCAUUUAGAAUGCAGAGAAAAUCUUUUUAGUUUCCUUAUCCAGGAGUUACACAUGCAUUACCAUUUGUUUUUAGUUGAUUUCUGGAAAAAGAAAAGGAAACUUACAUUGGGGUACCUAACAAAGGCGGCAGCACUGGCACACUCCUCUACCUCAUCAUGGUCUCCACCUGAAGCUCGUCGCUACGAGCUGCGUGGAACUCCUGCAAGACGCAAGCACAAUGA